AACGAACGCUGGCGGCGUGGAUAAGACAUGCAAGUCGAACGCUGGUUGUCGGGUAGCAAUAUUCGAUAACCGGAGUGGCGUAAGGGUGCGCAACACGUGGGCAAUUUGCCGCGAAGACUGGGAUAACCCCGAGAAAUCUGGGCUAAUACCGGAUGUGGCUGCCGAGAGACAUCUUUUGGCAUCCAAAGCUGGGGACCGCAAGGCCUGGCGCUUCGCGAUAAGCCCGCGGCCUAUCAGCUAGUUGGCGAGGUAACGGCUCACCAAGGCUAAGACGGGUAGCUGGUCUGAGAGGACGACCAGCCACACUGGAACUGAGACACGGUCCAGACACCUACGGGAGGCAG
Molecule: ribosomal RNA, 344 nt
Filed under: uncultured Verrucomicrobiota bacterium
Lineage: Bacteria; Pseudomonadati; Verrucomicrobiota
Description: bacterial SSU rRNA
Rfam family: Bacterial small subunit ribosomal RNA
Source: RNAcentral